Molecule: ribosomal RNA, 506 nt
Filed under: uncultured Alphaproteobacteria bacterium
Lineage: Bacteria; Pseudomonadati; Pseudomonadota; Alphaproteobacteria
Description: bacterial SSU rRNA
Rfam family: Bacterial small subunit ribosomal RNA
Source: RNAcentral
CCGUCUUCGGAUGGUGGACAGUGGCGCACGGGUGAGUAACACGUGGGGACCUGCCUGAUAGUAAGGAAAAACAGUUGGAAACGACUGCUAAUACCUUAUACGCCCUUCGGGGGAAAGAUUUAUCGCUAUCAGAUGGACCCGCGCUAGAUUAGAUAGUUGGUGGGGUAAUGGCCUACCAAGUCUACGAUCUUUAGCUGGUUUUAGAGGAUGAUCAGCAACACUGGGACUGAGACACGGCCCAGACUCCUACGGGAGGCAGCAGUGGGGAAUCUUAGACAAUGGGCGAAAGCCUGAUCUAGCCAUGCCGCGUGAGUGAUGAAGGUCUUAGGAUCGUAAAGCUCUUUCGCUAGGGAUGAUAAUGACAGUACCUAGUAAAGAAGCCCCGGCUAACUCCGUGCCAGCAGCCGCGGUAAUACGGAGGGGGCUAGCGUUGUUCGGAAUUACUGGGCGUAAAGCGUACGUAGGCGGAUCAGAAAGUAUGGGGUGAAAUCCCAGGGCUUAACCCU